AAGAAGAGGCGGGCGUUUUGGGGAUUCAUGGCGAGGGGCUCGUCAGUGCAGGCGCUCUACGAGCUCUGCAAAAAGACCUUCUCGCCUUCGGCCGCCGCUUCCUCUCCUCCUCCCACCUCCGCCAUCCGAAAGAUAGCUGCCCUCUUGGAUACAAUCAGUCCAGUGGAAGUCGGACUCAAAGCUGAUGAUCUGGAGGAUGAUAGGGGUCAUGGCUUUUUUGGCUCAAGCAUAUAUAAACAUUCAACCAGGGUAGCUCGAUGGGCUCAACCGAUAACAUACUUGCACAUAUAUGAGUGCAAUAGUUUUUCGAUUGGUAUAUUCUGCUUGCCCACUUCAUCUGUUAUUCCACUUCAUGACCAUCCUGGGAUGACUGUGUUAAGUAAGGUUCUAUAUGGUUCUAUGCAUGUGAAGUCAUAUGAUUGGAUAGAGCCUGCCUGCUCGACGCGAAGUAACAAGCCAGAUGACUUUCCUGUAACAUUGGCAAAAUUACACAUGGACACUGUUCUGACAGCACCAUGUCCAACCACUGUUCUAUUCCCAAGAAGUGGUGGCAACUUGCAUUGUUUCACUGCAGUGACUUCUUGUGCUGUUCUUGAUGUCUUGGCUCCACCAUAUUCUGAGGAAGCAGGACGGUGUUGUACCUAUUACCAUGAUUACCCAUACUCCACUUUCACUCCUGUGAGUAGAAUUUUAGUGAAUGAGAAUGAAGAUGAAUAUGCAUGGCUUGAGGCUAUAGAAGCUCCAGAUGAUCUUCACAUGCGUUCAGGCAGAUAUACUGGACCAGCUGUACAGUUCCUAACAACAGGAAGAGUCAUGGUUUCCAGGAUCAUGCACUGUAGUCUGAAGUAUUAUCCCUUCUUGGUGCACAUCAAGCUACAGUGAGAGCAACUCCUCCAGCAUGAAAGAGAAGAUGACAGCUCAAUCUACAGGCCUAAUCUGAGUUGAAGAACAUUGGUCCGAUAUAACAACCUUAUGCAUGCUAUGGUUUUGUUUUGCUACCACCGAAUGAAAGUUUCUUAUUAAUUUUGAACUGGAAAGCAAAACGACUGUGUUAUCUUUGCAUGUUGCAGUUCAAGUUCCCUUGGUCCAGAAUCAGACUGCUAAGUUAGCUUCAGGUCAGAUUGCAGCAUUUGGAUCUGACUUGAAGUGUAUCAUUCAUGUAACCCACAGAAGCAUAUGAAAGAAGAAAAAUCAUGGUGGUAUUUUGAAGUAGUGAUCAAUUACAUGGAAGGAAAAAAAGACCACCCAUUGCAGAGAACAUACUAAAUAUCAGAAGAAGCAUCACUUAAGCACACAAGGGAAGUGGGUUGGAAUCGGUCCAGUUGUUGCAGCUAGCAUGACAGAUUCUUGUUUGGUUCGAAGCUCAUUGUCACCUUUAAUCAUGCUUGGUCUUUUCUCUCCAUCGCACCGGUGGCAAUGGGACUUUGACAGAGGUGAUGACAUGCAAGGUGCACCAAACACCAGUGAUAUCUACUGCCUACCUGUACAAGACGCACACCUUGUACCUAAUUUCUUCAUCAUUCAUUGAUGCUGAGACCAUCAUGUUGCAUGGAUUCAUCUUGAGAUGGGACCUCGGUAUCAGCAGUGCUGUCGGCAGCCGCCAAAAUAUUCUCACGUCUCUUCGUCCAAAAAUGCACCGGUGGAGCGAAAUGGAGGAGGCAUUGUUCAUGUGGUUUUGAACUGUGACAAGGUAAUCUCCCUGGAAAAGUCAUGAACGCUAUAAUCCUCAGGGAGUGUGAUGGAUGAGUGCUUCUCCUUGUCAUGGCACAAAGUCUCUCAGAAAAAUAAUGCAGGAAUUAAAAUGAUCGAUCACUGUCGAUUCAAAGCUUAAGCUCUACGAGUCAUGAAAGGUAUGGAUUUGUAAUAUUAGAGUAGAUCUUGGUGAAUCUUGCAUUUGACCUCUGUCUCAUCAGCAAUAUUUGCUUGUGGUUGGACACAUACUAAAUCGUAUAGAUCAAAGGCUGUUGGCA
RNA transcript from Musa acuminata AAA Group (dessert banana), 1970 nucleotides. It is a transcript of the gene named plant cysteine oxidase 3, with no coding region annotated. NCBI's taxonomy places the organism in Eukaryota, Viridiplantae, Streptophyta, Magnoliopsida, Zingiberales, Musaceae. The transcript is spliced from 8 exons. The record is from RefSeq and is a predicted model, not a curated record.